This 253-nucleotide ribosomal RNA is filed under the name uncultured bacterium. RNAcentral's name for it is "partial 16S ribosomal RNA". It matches the Rfam family "Bacterial small subunit ribosomal RNA", at positions 524 to 776 of the family's 1533-position model. The record is from RNAcentral.
UACGUAGGGUGCAAGCGUUGUCCGGAAUUAUUGGGCGUAAAGAGCUCGUAGGCGGUCUGUCGCGUCGGCUGUGAAAACCUGGGGCUCAACUCCGGGCCUGCAGCCGAUACGGGCAGACUAGAAUUCGGUAGGGGAGACUGGAAUUCCUGGUGUAGCGGUGAAAUGCGCAGAUAUCAGGAGGAACACCGGUGGCGAAGGCGGGUCUCUGGGCCGAUAUUGACGCUGAGGCGCGAAAGCGUGGGGAGCAAACGGG